ACGGGAGGCAGCAGUGGGGAAUAUUGCACAAUGGGGGAAACCCUGAUGCAGCGACGCCGCGUGAAGGAAGAAGUAUCUCGGUAUGUAAACUUCUAUCAGCAGGGAAGAUAGUGACGGUACCUGACUAAGAAGCCCCGGCUAACUACGUGCCAGCAGCCGCGGUAAUACGUAGGUGGCAAGCGUUAUCCGGAUUUACUGGGUGUAAAGGGCGCGUAGGCGGGGAUGCAAGUCAGAUGUGAAAUCCAUGGGCUCAACCCAUGAACUGCAUUUGAAACUGUAUCUCUUGAGUGUCGGAGAGGUAGACGGAAUUCCUAGUGUAGCGGUGAAAUGCGUAGAUAUUAGGAGGAACACCAGUGGCGAAGGCGGUCUACUGGACGAUAACUGACGCUGAGGCGCGAAAGCGUGGGGAGCAAACAGGAUUAGAUACCCUGGUA
Molecule: ribosomal RNA, 434 nt
Filed under: uncultured Oscillospiraceae bacterium
Lineage: Bacteria; Bacillati; Bacillota; Clostridia; Eubacteriales; Oscillospiraceae
Description: bacterial SSU rRNA
Rfam family: Bacterial small subunit ribosomal RNA
Source: RNAcentral